Molecule: long non-coding RNA, 1056 nt
Organism: Astatotilapia calliptera (eastern happy)
Lineage: Eukaryota; Metazoa; Chordata; Actinopteri; Cichliformes; Cichlidae
Source: Ensembl
AAAAACAGCACGUUGUGCAGCUUUGUUAAUAUAAUUGUAUAAAUAAAAUAAGUACGCUUGUUGUAUUAUGUGCACUGCGUGCACUGUUGAAGAUUCAUGUACAUCCAUGCCUGUACCACUGUGCCAUGCUGUAGAACAGAAUAGAUACAGUGUUCAAAAUGAGGCAGGGAUUCCCAGUGUGGGAAAGACCCAGGCAAUGUAACAGCAAAGUCGUCAUCAGCAGCAUUACACUACAUCACUGACCAGGGCACCCACAGGUCCCAGCCAUAUUCUGCUUACACAAAACUUCAGCUACGCCGACAUGUGGCCGACUUGAUCAUAUAAGAAUAAUAUCAUGCUCCUGCUUGACCGCACUCUGCAGGGCAGUUUUGCACAAAGAGAGUGAAAGAUUUUUGAUUCGAAAGCAAAUAUAUUCAUUCAUUUCGAACGUCAGUCUCAAAUCUCCUGGCUGAGCAAACUGUGCAAGCUUAAUGUAAGGGAGGGGCUGCAGGAGAAAUUGUGAAUCAGAGCCAGUAGUGGGGUGCUUAUGAAUAAACCGGCUUUACCUAUCCCCUCCUCCUCUGCCCAUCCCUCGCUUAUGAUCUCUGCUCUAUCAACACUCCUCCCAGUUUCUUACACGCGUGCACGCACACACACACCAGCCCAAGGGGUUGCCAAGGAGAUGAUAACGUCAUUCUGAACUAGUGCCAUUUGUGCUGAGGGAGUACCAGUGAAACAGGAAGAAAAACAAUGAUAUUAAAAAUAAAUAAAAGGAUUUCAGUGUACAGAGAGAGAUAUGGAAGGACAGUAGCAGAGAAAAUACAGCAAGAAAAAAAAAAAGAAACAGCAAGAGCCCGGAUACGCCAUUACGAGUGUUCCAUUUUCGCCUUCUCAAGUUCAGGCAAUCUUACACUGACAACAAAGUGGUUUCUCAUUUUUCUAGGUCACAGGAUAUCAAGUAGUAAAACAUCAAAUUAAUGCUACUGAAUUGAUAAGUGAGUAGUGAGGCUUCUUCAGUUGCCUUUAACCUGCUCUGUGCUUUUCCUUGCUCUAAAUGAUGAUAAACAUGACUACACC